Molecule: ribosomal RNA, 866 nt
Filed under: uncultured bacterium
Lineage: Bacteria
Description: bacterial SSU rRNA
Rfam family: Bacterial small subunit ribosomal RNA
Source: RNAcentral
CCCGGCUCAGAAUCAACGCUGGCGGCGCGCCUAACACAUGCAAGUCGAACGAGAAAGUGGAGCAAUCCAUGAGUACAGUGGCGUACGGGUGAGUAACACGUGGGUGAUCUACCUCUUAGUGAGGAAUAACCCUGGGAAACCGGGGCUAAUACCGCAUAAGCCUGAGAAGGGAAAGCAGCAAUGCGCUGAGAGAGGAGCCCGCGGCCGAUUAGCUAGUUGGUGAGGUAAGAGCCCACCAAGGCAGAGAUCGGUAGCCGGCCUGAGAGGGCACACGGCCACACUGGCACUGAAACACGGGCCAGACUCCUACGGGAGGCAGCAGUGGGGAAUCUUGCACAAUGGGGGAAACCCUGAUGCAGCGACGCCGCGUGAGCGAUGAAGCCCUUCGGGGUGUAAAGCUCUUUCGUCAGGGAAGAUUAUGACGGUACCUGGAGAAGCAGCUGCGGCUAACUACGUGCCAGCAGCCGCGGUAAUACGUAGGCAGCAAGCGUUGUUCGGAGUUACUGGGCGUAAAGGGUGUGUAGGCGGUUCUUUAAGUUUGGUGUGAAAUCUCCCGGCUCAACCGGGAGGGUGCGCCGAAUACUGAGGGACUAGAGUGUGGGAGAGGAAAGUGGAAUUCCUGGUGUAGCGGUGAAAUGCGUAGAUAUCAGGAGGAACACCGGUGGUGUAGACGGCUUUCUGGACCAUAACUGACGCUGAGACACGAAAGCGUGGGUAGCAAACAGGAUUAGAUACCCUGGUAGUCCACGCCCUAAACGAUGCAUAUUUGGUGUGGGUCAUUCAGUUGAUCCGUGCCGGAGCUAACGCGUUAAAUAUGCCGCCUGGGGAGUACAGUCGCAAGGCUGAAACUCAAAGGAAUUGACGGG